UCGGCGGGCCCGCCAUUCAUGGCCGCCGGGGGCUCUCAGCCCCGGGCCCGCGCCCGCCGGAGACACCACGAACUCUGUCUGAUCUAGUGAAGUCUGAGUUGAUUGUAUCGCAAUCAGUUAAAACUUUCAACAAUGGAUCUCUUGGUUCCGGCAUCGAUGAAGAACGCAGCGAAAUGCGAUAACUAGUGUGAAUUGCAGAAUUCCGUGAAUCAUCGAGUCUUUGAACGCACAUUGCGCCCCCUGGUAUUCCGGGGGGCAUGCCUGUCCGAGCGUCAUUGCUGCCCAUCAAGCACGGCUUGUGUGUUGGGUCGUCGUCCCCUCUCCGGGGGGGACGGGCCCCAAAGGCAGCGGCGGCACCGCGUCCGAUCCUCGAGCGUAUGGGGCUUUGUCACCCGCUCUGUAGGCCCGGCCGGCGCUUGCCGAACGCAAAUCAAUCUUUUUCCAGGGUGACCUCGGAUCAGGUAGGGAUACCCGCUGAACUUAA
RNAcentral lists this ribosomal RNA (484 nucleotides) under Aspergillus flavus. RNAcentral describes it as "eukaryotic LSU rRNA". The stretch from base 122 to 275 matches the Rfam family "5.8S ribosomal RNA". The record is from RNAcentral. Lineage: Eukaryota; Fungi; Ascomycota; Eurotiomycetes; Eurotiales; Aspergillaceae.